RNAcentral lists this long non-coding RNA (734 nucleotides) under Mytilus galloprovincialis (Mediterranean mussel). The record is from RNAcentral. Lineage: Eukaryota; Metazoa; Mollusca; Bivalvia; Mytilida; Mytilidae.
GUUUGCCAUGUUAAAAUUUCAAUUAAGUUUCAGCCAUAUUAUUAUAAAAAUAGUUUAACGCAGGUUUAAACGAGGCAUCCAAUGGGAUGUUAUCUAGCACUAAACUGAUUAUCACCGUAACAGUUUUUAUACAAUAUGCUUUCAUUCUUUAUAUAUAUAAUUCUAAUAGUGAAUUACUUCAAUGACACAGCUACUAAGAUAUAGACAGUAAAAACAAAAACAAAUUAAAGAGGGAAAUUUCACACACGUUAAUCUCAUCUGAAUUUCACUCCAAACGAGUUUGUACCUGCAACUCGCAUGAACUGAUUUCACGUGAGUUUCAAGUGAAUAUUUUACGUGAAACUCGCUUAAAUGUCAAGCACAUUAUUUUUUUGACGUGAUACUCACGUGAAUUUUCCAAAUAAACUUAUUCUAACAACAUCUAAAUUUUCAAAUCUAAUUAAAAUCACGUGAGAUAACGUGUAUGUGGUUCUCAGUUCAGGUGAACAUUGUCAUGUGAGUUUCAGGUAUAAGCUAGCUCGAGGUGUAUUUCAUUGUAUAUUUCACGUGAGCAAAGUGUGCCUGUGUACAGAGUCAAAAACAGAAAGGUCCAGCAGAUUCCAAGACAUUUCUUGCAAUAAAUAAUAAAAUAAUUUACAUUUAUUCUAGAGAAAAUAUUUAUACAAUCAUGUGUUUAAAAAUUCUAUUGCUUCAAAUUACUUCAUUUAACAUAUAAGAUUUGACUAAUCGAGCAA